Molecule: long non-coding RNA, 774 nt
Filed under: Rattus norvegicus (Norway rat)
Lineage: Eukaryota; Metazoa; Chordata; Mammalia; Rodentia; Muridae
Description: long non-coding RNA NONRATT028337
Source: RNAcentral
CGUGGACAGACACAAACUGGAGGGACAGAGAUAUGGAUGGGAACUGAAGCAGGGGAAAGGAGCAUCCUAAGCCUGCCUUGAUGCCCAGCAGGUGUCCCACCUAAUCCAUCCCCCCAGGUUAGCCUCAGCUGUCCGAAGGCUGUUGGGGAGACUCGGUUCCCUGAGUGACAUCUGAGGAGCAACUGCAGAGAGAGGAUGGCCCAGGUCCUGCAUGUGCCCGCCCCAUUCCCAGGAACCCCUGGCCAAGCCUCCUCAGCGGCCUUCCCCAACAAGGAGCCAGACCCGCCAUACUCGGUGGAGACGCCCUAUGGCUACCGCCUGGACCUGGACUUUCUUAAGUACGCGGAUGUCAUGAUGGAGUCUUUGCACGUGUAUAAAACAGAAAACCAAACUGUAGGACAGCCGCUGGUGUCUCCGGACGCUCACAGCCUAGGGUACAUUCAUAAGGCUGUGCUCUGAGCUGAGCCCCGAGUUCCAGCCUUGUAGCCAGCAAGGGAGUUUAUUUAAGGUUCUGGAAGCAUCAGCUAUGACCCCAAAGCACACACUCCUCAGAAAAGCCCCUGUCUGUUUCUGCCACUGCUGCUUUCUGUGUCUCUGUGAGGGGGCCACCAGGGCCAAACACCGGUCUCUCCUCUCCUUUCCUGUAUACUCAUGUUGUAUUUCUACUCCGUGACCACGGUACGUCCAUGAAGACAGUGUUACACGUAAAUGAAGUAUUCUUUUCUUGUAAUCAUGUUUUAGAAAGUAAAGGGACUUAAUAAAGCUGCAAACAAG